GAUCUAGGUGAGGGACAGAUGGCCCCUGUUCACACAGUGUGCUGUGGGAGGUCAGGAACCCUGGGCAUGACCUUUGCACCGAGACAGGGUGAUUAUUACACUUACUGCAACCCCAACUGCCCUCUGCUGCAGGGUGAGGAGCUGUCUCCAUCCUGCGAGAUGUCCACAAAAAAACACCCUUAAGAGUAUCGUCUGGAGGCUUGGCGCCUGUGGCUCAAGUGACUAAGGCACUGGCGACAUACACCUGAGCUGGCAGCACGAGGACAAGGGUGUCACCAGUAUUAGCACCUGGUGGUCUGUAUCAGCACUGGCCCCAGCACCAGCAGUUGGCGGCCACAGUAAGGAGGCACUUCCUGAAAUGGAGCAAAAAACCAGCUUACAGGUGGAGGAGAAAGGUCCAGACCCAGUAAAGCCAUGGCUCCAAGUGCAGUGGCCUCUGAAAGCUGACCACCCAAGGCACUACAACAAGCUGAUCAAGAUUCAGAGGUGGUCACCACCAAGGCUCUGCUGCACUCACUGUGCCCCACAUGGGAGCAACCUGGCAACAAAGACUGCGGGGGAGACAUGGAUUAGCCCAGCAUGGGCAGGAAGCAGCAUCCCAUCAAAUCAGGAAGAAAAGCACAUUAUUAAAGCCAGUGCUGGCUGGGCGGUGCCUGUGGCUCAGUGAGUAGGGCGCAGGUCCCAUAUAGUGAGGGUGGAGGGUUCGAACCUGGCCCCAGACAAACUGCAACAAAAAAUAGCCGGGCGUUGUGGCAGGCGCCUGUAGUCCCAGCUACUCGGGAGGCUGAGGCAAGAAAACGGCUAAGCCCGAGAGCUGGAGGUUGCUAUGAGCUGUAAUGCCAUGGCACUCUAUCAAGGGUGACAAAGUGAGACUGUGUCUCUAAAAAACAAACAGGGUGGCGCCUGUGGCUCAACAGAGUAAGGCGCUGGCCCCAUAUGCUGGAGGUGGCGGGUUCAAACCCAGCCCUGGCCAAAAACUGCAAAAAAACAAACAAACAAACAAAAAACAGUGCUGGCUAGCACCUAUAUCUCAGCGGCUAGCGUGCCAGCCACAUACACCAGAGCUGGCAGGUUUGAAUCCAGCCCUGGCCUGGCAAACAACAAUGACAACAACAAAUAGCUGUGUUUUAUGGUGGGCACCUGUAGUCCCAGGUACUUGGGAGGCAGAGGCAAGAGAAUCGCCUAAGCCCAAGAGUUUGAGAUUGCUGAGAGUUAUGACACCACAGCACUCUACCGAGGGCGACACAGCCCACCAGAAUCCUCAGGCCAGCAGUGGAGUUUCCCACUCCCUGUGGCCAACAUAAAAGCUGUCUCAAAUUGUGCUCAGUGCAGAUGCUGUCUUUAGCUCUGCCCAAGUGGGUUUCUUUUGUUUUCAUUGAACCUGGCAUAAACCUCUC
Nycticebus coucang (slow loris) is the source of this 1397-nucleotide long non-coding RNA. RefSeq lists it as uncharacterized. The transcript is spliced from 2 exons. Lineage: Eukaryota; Metazoa; Chordata; Mammalia; Primates; Lorisidae. The record is from RefSeq and is a predicted model, not a curated record.